UACAGAGGGGGCAAGCGUUGUUCGGAAUUACUGGGCGUAAAGGGCGCGUAGGCGGCCUGUUAAGUCGAACGUGAAAUCCCCGGGCUCAACCCGGGAACUGCGUCCGAUACUGGCAGGCUUGAAUCCGGGAGAGGGAUGCGGAAUUCCAAGUGUAGCGGUGAAAUGCGUAGAUAUCUGGAGGAACACCGGUGGCGAAGGCGGCAUCCUGGACCGGUAUUGACGCUGAGGCGCGAAAGCCAGGGGAGCAAACGGG
RNAcentral lists this ribosomal RNA (253 nucleotides) under uncultured bacterium. Its description in RNAcentral is "partial 16S ribosomal RNA". It matches the Rfam family "Bacterial small subunit ribosomal RNA", at positions 524 to 776 of the family's 1533-position model. The record is from RNAcentral.